AAGUCGUAACAAGGUUUCCGUAGGUGAACCUGCGGAAGGAUCAUUAUCACAAAUGAUUUUUAACUCUCUUAAUCCAGAGUUAAACCUCUUCUUAAACCAAUCUAAUUAAAAUGUGAAAUCGUUUUAUUUUUUUUUUAAGAACUUGGCAACAAGCCUUAAAAAAAAAUUAUUAACCAAUUGAACCCUUUUCUAAUUAAUGUUAUUUUAUUUAUUUAGUUCUGAAAUCUAUUAUAUAUCAAUAUGUAAUAAUAUUGACAUGUAAUAAGUUACAUUACGAAACAAUUUAAAUAAAACAACUCUUAGCAACGGAUAUCUUGGUUCUC
Molecule: unclassified non-coding RNA, 323 nt
Filed under: fungal sp.
Lineage: Eukaryota; Fungi
Description: partial internal transcribed spacer region
Rfam family: Eukaryotic small subunit ribosomal RNA (bases 1-46)
Source: RNAcentral